GGGAGAGUGGCUGAGUGGUUAAAAGCGGCAGACUGUAAAUCUGUUGAUGUUUCUACGUAGGUUCGAAUCCUACCUCUCUCA
Molecule: transfer RNA, 81 nt
Filed under: Coccomyxa subellipsoidea C-169
Lineage: Eukaryota; Viridiplantae; Chlorophyta; Trebouxiophyceae; Coccomyxaceae
Description: tRNA-Tyr
Rfam family: tRNA
About the family: Transfer RNA (tRNA) molecules are approximately 80 nucleotides in length. Their secondary structure includes four short double-helical elements and three loops (D, anti-codon, and T loops).
Source: RNAcentral